UUUUAAUAGCUUAUACAGAGUAUAAUAUUGAAGAUAUUAUGGAAGAAUUUUUCUUUAAAAUAU
This 63-nucleotide transfer RNA is filed under the name Plateros sp. UPOL A00493. RNAcentral's name for it is "tRNA-Phe". The record is from RNAcentral. Lineage: Eukaryota; Metazoa; Arthropoda; Insecta; Coleoptera; Lycidae.